This 473-nucleotide long non-coding RNA is filed under the name Parus major (Great Tit). Its description in RNAcentral is "lncRNA (ENSPMJG00000016567.1)". The record is from RNAcentral. Lineage: Eukaryota; Metazoa; Chordata; Aves; Passeriformes; Paridae.
CGGAGGCCGGGCGGUGUGAGCAGGCCGUGGGCAGGAGCCGUGUCCCGGAGGCCGGGCGGUGUGAGCAGGCCGUGGGCAGGAGCCGUGUCCCGGAGCUGCGGGCUGCAGGUGGCAGCAGCGCCCUUCCCUUCCCUGCGGCAGCCGGGGAUGCUGCGGCACAGCCCGGCCACAGCGCCAGGAGCACAUCGGCACCUCGCAGCCACACUCUGCGCCUCCCCCGCCUCCUCCCCGACAGGAAUCCGGAUCCUUGGAGAGAGGGGAGGGGAAGAAAAGCCUUUCUGCAUCGCGCAGUGCCAGACAGAGCCCGGAGUUCUCCAAAUAGGAUUGGCCUCCUGUCCUCCCUGCUGGCCCCUGCCAUUCCAGCCCCUCCCGUGCCAUCCCAGCGUGUGCUGCAGAAUCCAGCCUGCUCCUGCUAGAAAGGAAACAUCUAAAGCCAGCCAGAGCAUGUCCAAUAGGAUUUGUGGUUCUUCCAA